RNAcentral lists this ribosomal RNA (377 nucleotides) under uncultured crenarchaeote. Its description in RNAcentral is "bacterial SSU rRNA". It matches the Rfam family "Archaeal small subunit ribosomal RNA", at positions 497 to 875 of the family's 1478-position model. Lineage: Archaea; Thermoproteati; Thermoproteota. The record is from RNAcentral.
UGAUUAUUGGGCCUAAAGCAUCCGUAGCCGGCUCUGUAAGUUUUCGGUUAAAUCUGUACGCUCAACGUACAGGCUGCCGGGAAUACUGCAGAGCUAGGGAGUGGGAGAGGUAGACGGUACUCGGUAGGAAGGGGUAAAAUCCUUUGAUCUAUUGAUGACCACCUGUGGCGAAGGCGGUCUACCAGAACACGUCCGACGGUGAGGGAUGAAAGCUGGGGGAGCAAACCGGAUUAGAUACCCGGGUAGUCCCAGCUGUAAACUAUGCAAACUCAGUGAUGCAUUGACUUGUGGUCAAUGCAGUGCUGCAGGGAAGCCGUUAAGUUUGCCGCCUGGGAAGUACNUACGCAAGUAUGAAACUUAAAGGAAUUGGCGGGGGA